This 465-nucleotide ribosomal RNA is filed under the name Vreelandella stevensii. RNAcentral describes it as "partial 16S ribosomal RNA". It matches the Rfam family "Bacterial small subunit ribosomal RNA", at positions 338 to 795 of the family's 1533-position model. The record is from RNAcentral. Lineage: Bacteria; Pseudomonadati; Pseudomonadota; Gammaproteobacteria; Oceanospirillales; Halomonadaceae.
CCUACGGGUGGCAGCAGUGGGGAAUAUUGGACAAUGGGCGAAAGCCUGAUCCAGCCAUGCCGCGUGUGUGAAGAAGGCCUUCGGGUUGUAAAGCACUUUCAGUGGGGAAGAAAGCCUUGGGGCUAAUACCCUCGAGGAAGGACAUCACCCACAGAAGAAGCACCGGCUAACUCCGUGCCAGCAGCCGCGGUAAUACGGAGGGUGCGAGCGUUAAUCGGAAUUACUGGGCGUAAAGCGCGCGUAGGCGGUCUGAUAAGCCGGUUGUGAAAGCCCCGGGCUCAACCUGGGAACGGCAUCCGGAACUGUCAGGCUAGAGUGCAGGAGAGGAGGGUAGAAUUCCCGGUGUAGCGGUGAAAUGCGUAGAGAUCGGGAGGAAUACCAGUGGCGAAGGCGGCCUUCUGGACUGACACUGACGCUGAGGUGCGAAAGCGUGGGUAGCAAACAGGAUUAGAUACCCGUGUAGUC